This 253-nucleotide ribosomal RNA is filed under the name uncultured bacterium. RNAcentral describes it as "partial 16S ribosomal RNA". It matches the Rfam family "Bacterial small subunit ribosomal RNA", at positions 524 to 776 of the family's 1533-position model. The record is from RNAcentral.
AACGUAGGUGACGAGCGUUAUCCGGAUUUACUGGGCGUAAAGAGCUUGUAGGUGGUUCUGUAAGUUGGGUGUGAAAGCCCCGGGCUUAACUCGGGGAGGUUACUCAAUACUGCAGGGCUAGAGGGUGUCAGAGGGAAGUGGAAUUCCUGGUGUAGCAGUGAAAUGCGUAGAUAUCAGGAGGAACACCCGUGGCGAAGGCGGCUUCCUGGGGCAUUCCUGACACUGAGAAGCGAAAGCUAGGGGAGCGAACGGG